GCCGCCGGGGGGCUUACGCCCCCGGGCCCGCGCCCGCCGAAGACACCCUCGAACUCUGUCUGAAGAUUGAAGUCUGAGUGAAAAUAUAAAUUAUUUAAAACUUUCAACAACGGAUCUCUUGGUUCCGGCAUCGAUGAAGAACGCAGCGAAAUGCGAUACGUAAUGUGAAUUGCAAAUUCAGUGAAUCAUCGAGUCUUUGAACGCACAUUGCGCCCCCUGGUAUUCCGGGGGGCAUGCCUGUCCGAGCGUCAUUGCUGCCCUCAAGCCCGGCUUGUGUGUUGGGCCCCGUCCCCCGAUCUCCGGGGGACGGGCCCGAAAGGCAGCGGCGGCACCGCGUCCGGUCCUCGAGCGUAUGGGGCUUUGUCACCCGCUCUGUAGGCCCGGCCGGCGCUUGCCGAUCAACCCAAAUUUUUAUCCAGGUGACCUCGGAUCA
Molecule: ribosomal RNA, 433 nt
Filed under: Penicillium chrysogenum
Lineage: Eukaryota; Fungi; Ascomycota; Eurotiomycetes; Eurotiales; Aspergillaceae
Also listed under: 1 other name
Description: eukaryotic LSU rRNA
Rfam family: 5.8S ribosomal RNA (bases 99-251)
Source: RNAcentral